ACAUAAGUGAAAAAUGACAGUAGAAAUCGAAUCUUAAAGCACAAGUUCAUCAUUAUUUCUGGCGGAAAUUGAAUUGAGCAGAAUGGUUAACGGAUUGAGUUUAAAUCAGCAGCUGGCCCAGGCUGUUAGCUCAUUUGCUACCUUAAACACAUUUGCCUUGUGGCCAAGAGCGAACGGGUUAUAUGCUUGGCAGCAUAUGGCCCUUGGGCCUACAACCAGGCCUUUGUAUAGUGUCAAAACUGAUAUUUCAGUUUGCAAUCGAUUUGUUGAGCCCAAGCAGUUGAAAUAUAGCGAAAUGUUGCCCUUGUCUAUGUUAGAUUUGAAUAUUACCGAUGCGGAUCUGUUGGCUCUGGAAUUGGAAAAGAUUGCAUUGGCUUAACAAGUUGCGAAUUAUAAGAAAUUGCAUGCGCUAUGCAAACAA
Molecule: long non-coding RNA, 421 nt
Organism: Drosophila montana
Lineage: Eukaryota; Metazoa; Arthropoda; Insecta; Diptera; Drosophilidae
Exons: 3
Source: RefSeq, a predicted model, not a curated record